RNAcentral lists this ribosomal RNA (559 nucleotides) under Pseudozyma tsukubaensis. Its description in RNAcentral is "eukaryotic LSU rRNA". It matches the Rfam family "Eukaryotic large subunit ribosomal RNA", at positions 82 to 621 of the family's 3401-position model. The record is from RNAcentral. Lineage: Eukaryota; Fungi; Basidiomycota; Ustilaginomycetes; Ustilaginales; Ustilaginaceae.
AGUAACGGCGAGUGAAGAGGGAAGAGCCCAAGAUUGAAAGCUGGCGUCUUCGGCGUCCGCAUUGUAAUCUCAAGAAGUGUUUUCCGCUUCGGACCAAGCCUAAGUCCCCUGGAAAGGGGCAUCAUAGAGGGUGAUAAUCCCGUACAUGGCUUGGAGCGCCCGUAGCUUUGUGAUACACUUUCUAAGAGUCGAGUUGUUUGGGAAUGCAGCUCAAAAUGGGUGGUAAAUGCCAUCUAAGGCUAAAUAUUGGGGAGAGACCGAUAGCGAACAAGUACAGUGAUGGAAAGAUGAAAAGAACUUUGAAAAGAGAGUUAAACAGUACGUGAAAUUGCCAAAAGGGAAGGGUAGGAGGUCAGAGAUGCGGCCUAGGAUUCAGCCUUGCUUUUGCUUGGUGUUUUUCCUAGAUUGCAGGCCAACGUCGGUUUUGGGCACUGGAGAAGGGUGGAAGGAACGUGGCACCUCUCGGGGUGUGUUAUAGCCUUCUACUGGAUACAGCGACCGAGACCGAGGACAGCAGCGUACUCGCAAGAGCGGGCCUUCGGGCACCUUUACGCUUAGG